GACGAACGCUGGCGGCGUGCUUAACACAUGCAAGUCGAACGGAAAGGCCCUGCUUUUGUGGGGUGCUCGAGUGGCGAACGGGUGAGUAACACGUGAGUAACCUGCCCUUGACUUUGGGAUAACUUCAGGAAACUGGGGCUAAUACCGGAUAGGAGCUCCUGCUGCAUGGUGGGGGUAGGAAAGUUUCGGCGGUUGUGGAUGGAAUCGCGGCUUAUCAGCUUGUUGGUGGGGUAGUGGCUUACCAAGGCUUUGACGGGUAGCCGGCCUGAGAGGGUGACCGGCCACAUUGGUACUGAGAUACGGCCCAGUCUCCUACGGGAGGCAGCAGUGGGGAAUAUUGCACAAUGGGCGGAAGCCUGAUGCAGCAACGCCGCGUGCGUGAUGACGGCCUUCGGGUGGUAAACCGCUUUCGCCUGUGACGAAGCGUGAGUGACGGUAAUGGGUAAAGAAGCACCGGCUAACUACGUG
This 468-nucleotide ribosomal RNA is filed under the name uncultured bacterium. RNAcentral describes it as "partial 16S ribosomal RNA". It matches the Rfam family "Bacterial small subunit ribosomal RNA", at positions 28 to 507 of the family's 1533-position model. The record is from RNAcentral.